CACGUAGGGGGCAAGCGUUGUCCGGAUUUAUUGGGCGUAAAGAGCUCGUAGGUGGUUCGGUAAGUCAGGUGUGAAACCUCCAGGCUCAACCUGGAGACGCCACUUGAUACUGCUGUGACUGGAGUCCGGUAGGGGAGCGUGGAAUUCCUGGUGUAGCGGUGAAAUGCGCAGAUAUCAGGAGGAACACCAGCGGCGAAGGCAGCUCGCUGGGACGGUACUGACGCUGAGACGCGAAAGCGUGGGGAGCAAACAGG
RNAcentral lists this ribosomal RNA (254 nucleotides) under uncultured bacterium. RNAcentral's name for it is "partial 16S ribosomal RNA". It matches the Rfam family "Bacterial small subunit ribosomal RNA", at positions 524 to 776 of the family's 1533-position model. The record is from RNAcentral.